Molecule: transfer RNA, 69 nt
Filed under: Oreobates cruralis (La Paz robber frog)
Lineage: Eukaryota; Metazoa; Chordata; Amphibia; Anura; Strabomantidae
Description: tRNA-Val
Source: RNAcentral
CGAAAUAUAGUCUAACCAAGGCAUCUCGCUUACACCAAGAAGAUCCCUACUACACACGGGUAUUUCGAG